This 1554-nucleotide ribosomal RNA is filed under the name Escherichia coli. RNAcentral describes it as "bacterial SSU rRNA". It matches the Rfam family "Bacterial small subunit ribosomal RNA". The record is from RNAcentral. Lineage: Bacteria; Pseudomonadati; Pseudomonadota; Gammaproteobacteria; Enterobacterales; Enterobacteriaceae.
UUAAAUUGAAGAGUUUGAUCAUGGCUCAGAUUGAACGCUGGCGGCAGGCCUAACACAUGCAAGUCGAACGGUAACAGGAAGAAGCUUGCUUCUUUGCUGACGAGUGGCGGACGGGUGAGUAAUGUCUGGGAAACUGCCUGAUGGAGGGGGAUAACUACUGGAAACGGUAGCUAAUACCGCAUAAUGUCGCAAGACCAAAGAGGGGGACCUUCGGGCCUCUUGCCAUCGGAUGUGCCCAGAUGGGAUUAGCUAGUAGGUGGGGUAACGGCUCACCUAGGCGACGAUCCCUAGCUGGUCUGAGAGGAUGACCAGCCACACUGGAACUGAGACACGGUCCAGACUCCUACGGGAGGCAGCAGUGGGGAAUAUUGCACAAUGGGCGCAAGCCUGAUGCAGCCAUGCCGCGUGUAUGAAGAAGGCCUUCGGGUUGUAAAGUACUUUCAGCGGGGAGGAAGGGAGUAAAGUUAAUACCUUUACUCAUUGACGUUACCCGCAGAAGAAGCACCGGCUAACUCCGUGCCAGCAGCCGCGGUAAUACGGAGGGUGCAAGCGUUAAUCGGAAUUACUGGGCGUAAAGCGCACGCAGGCGGUUUGUUAAGUCAGAUGUGAAAUCCCCGGGCUCAACCUGGGAACUGCAUCUGAUACUGGCAAGCUUGAGUCUCGUAGAGGGGGGUAGAAUUCCAGGUGUAGCGGUGAAAUGCGUAGAGAUCUGGAGGAAUACCGGUGGCGAAGGCGGCCCCCUGGACGAAGACUGACGCUCAGGUGCGAAAGCGUGGGGAGCAAACAGGAUUAGAUACCCUGGUAGUCCACGCCGUAAACGAUGUCGACUUGGAGGUUGUGCCCUUGAGGCGUGGCUUCCGGAGCUAACGCGUUAAGUCGACCGCCUGGGGAGUACGGCCGCAAGGUUAAAACUCAAAUGAAUUGACGGGGGCCCGCACAAGCGGUGGAGCAUGUGGUUUAAUUCGAUGCAACGCGAAGAACCUUACCUGGUCUUGACAUCCACGGAAGUUUUCAGAGAUGAGAAUGUGCCUUCGGGAACCGUGAGACAGGUGCUGCAUGGCUGUCGUCAGCUCGUGUUGUGAAAUGUUGGGUUAAGUCCCGCAACGAGCGCAACCCUUAUCCUUUGUUGCCAGCGGUCCGGCCGGGAACUCAAAGGAGACUGCCAGUGAUAAACUGGAGGAAGGUGGGGAUGACGUCAAGUCAUCAUGGCCCUUACGACCAGGGCUACACACGUGCUACAAUGGCGCAUACAAAGAGAAGCGACCUCGCGAGAGCAAGCGGACCUCAUAAAGUGCGUCGUAGUCCGGAUUGGAGUCUGCAACUCGACUCCAUGAAGUCGGAAUCGCUAGUAAUCGUGGAUCAGAAUGCCACGGUGAAUACGUUCCCGGGCCUUGUACACACCGCCCGUCACACCAUGGGAGUGGGUUGCAAAAGAAGUAGGUAGCUUAACCUUCGGGAGGGCGCUUACCACUUUGUGAUUCAUGACUGGGGUGAAGUCGUAACAAGGUAACCGUAGGGGAACCUGCGGUUGGAUCACCUCCUUACCUUAAAGAA